Molecule: ribosomal RNA, 254 nt
Filed under: uncultured bacterium
Lineage: Bacteria
Description: partial 16S ribosomal RNA
Rfam family: Bacterial small subunit ribosomal RNA
Source: RNAcentral
UACAGAGGGUGCAAGCGUUAAUCGGAUUUACUGGGCGUAAAGGGCGCGUAGGCGGCCAGCACAAGUCAGUUGUGAAAUCUCCGAGCUUAACUCGGAAAGGUCAACUGAUACUGUGCGGCUAGAGUGCGGAAGGGGCAACUGGAAUUCUUGGUGUAGCGGUGAAAUGCGUAGAUAUCAAGAGGAACACCUGCGGCGAAGGCGGGUUGCUGGGCCGACACUGACGCUGAGGCGCGAAAGCCAGGGGAGCGAACGGG